This 468-nucleotide ribosomal RNA is filed under the name uncultured bacterium. RNAcentral's name for it is "partial 16S ribosomal RNA". It matches the Rfam family "Bacterial small subunit ribosomal RNA", at positions 28 to 507 of the family's 1533-position model. The record is from RNAcentral.
GACGAACGCUGGCGGCGUGCUUAACACAUGCAAGUCGAACGGAAAGGCCCUGCUUUUGUGGGGUGCUCGAGUGGCGAACGGGUGAGUAACACGUGAGUAACCUGCCCUUGACUUUGGGAUAACUUCAGGAAACUGGGGAUAAUACCGGAUAGGAGCUCCUGCUGCAUGGUGGGGGUUGGAAAGUUUCGGCGGUUGGGGAUGGACUCGCGGCUUAUCAGCUUGUUGGUGGGGUAGUGGCUUACCAAGGCUUUGACGGGUAGCCGGCCUGAGAGGGUGACCGGCCACAUUGGGACUGAGAUACGGCCCAGACGCCUACGGGAGGCAGCAGGGGGGAAUAUUGCACAAUGGGCGGAAGCCUGAGGCAGCAACGCCGCGUGCUGGAUGACGGCCUUCGGGUUGUAAACCGCUUUCGCCUGUGACGAAGCGUGAGUGACGGUAAUGGGUAAGGAAGCACCGGCUAACUACGUG